UACAUGGGGUGCAAACGUUGCUCGGAAUUAUUGGGCGUAAAGAGCUCGUAGGCGGUUCGUCGCGUCGGCUGUGAAAUCCCGAGGCUCAACCUCGGGUCUGCAGUCGAUACGGGCGGACUGGAGUUCGGCAGGGGAGACUGGAAUUCCUGGUGUAGCGGUGAAAUGCGCAGAUAUCAGGAGGAACACCGGUGGCGAAGGCGGGUCUCUGGGCCGAUACUGACGCUGAGGAGCGAAAGCGUGGGGAGCGAACAGG
This 253-nucleotide ribosomal RNA is filed under the name uncultured bacterium. Its description in RNAcentral is "partial 16S ribosomal RNA". It matches the Rfam family "Bacterial small subunit ribosomal RNA", at positions 524 to 776 of the family's 1533-position model. The record is from RNAcentral.